GCAGUCGAGGGGUAUAGUUCUUCGGAAUAGAGACCGGCGCACGGGUGCGUAACGCGUAUGCAAUCUACCUUUCACAGAGGGAUAGCCCAGAGAAAUUUGGAUUAAUACCUCAUAGUAUAGUACAAUCGCAUGAUUGAACUAUUAAAGUCACAACGGUGAAAGAUGAGCAUGCGUCCCAUUAGCUAGUUGGUAAGGUAACGGCUUACCAAGGCUACGAUGGGUAGGGGUCCUGAGAGGGAGAUCCCCCACACUGGUACUGAGACACGGACCAGACUCCUACGGGAGGCAGCAGUGAGGAAUAUUGGACAAUGGGCGCAAGCCUGAUCCAGCCAUGCCGCGUGCAGGAUGACGGUCCUAUGGAUUGUAAACUGCUUUUGUACGAGAAGAAACACUCCUUCGUGAAGGAGCUUGACGGUAUCGUAAGAAUAAGGAUCGGCUAACUCCGUGCCAGCAGCCGCGGUAAUACGGAGGAUCCAAGCGUUAUCCGGAAUCAUUGGGUUUAAAGGGUCCGUAGGCGGUUUAGUAAGUCAGUGGUGAAAGCCCAUCGCUCAACGGUGGAACGGCCAUUGAUACUGCUAGACUUGAAUUAUUAGGAAGUAACUAGAAUAUGUAGUGUAGCGGUGAAAUGCUUAGAGAUUACAUGGAAUACCAAUUGCGAAGGCAGGUUACUACUAAUGGAUUGACGCUGAUGGACGAAAGCGUGGGUAGCGAACAGGAUUAGAUACCCUGGUAGUCCACGCCGUAAACGAUGGAUACUAGCUGUUGGGAGCGAUCUCAGUGGCUAAGCGAAAGUGAUAAGUAUCCCACCUGGGGAGUACGUUUCGCAGAA
RNAcentral lists this ribosomal RNA (829 nucleotides) under uncultured bacterium. RNAcentral's name for it is "bacterial SSU rRNA". It matches the Rfam family "Bacterial small subunit ribosomal RNA", at positions 57 to 894 of the family's 1533-position model. The record is from RNAcentral.